Molecule: ribosomal RNA, 990 nt
Filed under: Gilliamella sp.
Lineage: Bacteria; Pseudomonadati; Pseudomonadota; Gammaproteobacteria; Orbales; Orbaceae
Description: bacterial SSU rRNA
Rfam family: Bacterial small subunit ribosomal RNA
Source: RNAcentral
CUUAACACAUGCAAGUCGAACGGUAACAUGAGUGCUUGCACUUGAUGACGAGUGGCGGACGGGUGAGUAAAGUAUGGGGAUCUGCCGAAUGGAAGGGGACAACAGUUGGAAACGACUGCUAAUACCGUAUAAUGUNGCGAGACCAAAGCAUGGGACUUUCGGGCCAUGCGCCAUUUGAUGAACCCAUAUGGGAUUAGCUAGUAGGUGGGGUAAGGGCUCACCUAGGCGACGAUCUCUAGCUGGUCUGAGAGGAUGACCAGCCACACUGGAACUGAGACACGGUCCAGACUCCUACGGGAGGCAGCAGUGGGGAAUAUUGCACAAUGGGGGGAACCCUGAUGCAGCCAUGCCGCGUGUAUGAAGAAGGCCUUCGGGUUGUAAAGUACUUUCGGUGAUGAGGAAGGCGGUGUAUCUAAUAGGUGCAUCGAUUGACGUUAAUCACAGAAGAAGCACCGGCUAACUCCGUGCCAGCAGCCGCGGUAAUACGGAGGGUGCGAGCGUUAAUCGGAAUGACUGGGCGUAAAGGGCAUGUAGGCGGAUAAUUAAGUUAGGUGUGAAAGCCCUGGGCUCAACCUAGGAAUUGCAUUUAAAACUGGUUAUCUGGAGUAUUGUAGAGGAAGGUAGAAUUCCACGUGUAGCGGUGAAAUGCGUAGAGAUGUGGAGGAAUACCGGUGGCGAAGGCGGCCUUCUGGACAGAUACUGACGCUGAGAUGCGAAAGCGUGGGGAGCAAACAGGAUUAGAUACCCUGGUAGUCCACGCUGUAAACGAUGUCGAUUUGGAGUUUGUUGCCUAGAGUGAUGGGCUCCGAAGCUAACGCGAUAAAUCGACCGCCUGGGGAGUACGGCCGCAAGGUUAAAACUCAAAUGAAUUGACGGGGGCCCGCACAAGCGGUGGAGCAUGUGGUUUAAUUCGAUGCAACGCGAAGAACCUUACCUGGUCUUGACAUCCACAAAUCUUGUAGAAAACGAGAGUGCCUUCGGAACUGUGAG